AGAGUAUGAUACCGGCUCAGAGCGAACGCUGGCGGCGUGGAUUAGGCAUGCAAGUCGAACGCGCACGACGGGAGCUUGCUCCCGUACGGCGAGUGGCGAAAGGGUGAGUAACACGUGGGCAAUCUACCCCGAGGUUGGGAAUAACGUCUGGAAACGGACGCUAAUACCGAAUACCGAUACCCCCUCACAUGUGGGGAUAUCGAAAGGUCAGCCGCCUUGGGAGGGGCCCGCGUCCUAUUAGCUUGUUGGUGAGGUAACGGCUCACCAAGGCUCCGAUGGGUAGCCGGUCUGAGAGGAUGGUCGGCCACACUGGGACUGAGACACUGCCCAGACGCCUACGGGCGGCUGCAGUCGAGGAUAUUUGGCAAUGGGGGAAACCCUGACCAUGCGACGCCGCGUGGAGGAUGAAGGCUUUCGAGUUGUAAACUCCUGUGAUCGAGGAAGAACUCUCCACUUCGGUGGACUUGACGGUACUCGGUCAGAAAGGGCCAGCUAACUGCGUGCCAGCAGCUGCGGUAAUACGUGGGGCCCAAGCGUUGCUCGGAUUUACUGGGCGUAAAGGGCGUCUAGGCGGCCGGUCAAGUCGCGUGUGAAAUUUCUACGGCUCAACCGAGAAACUGCACGCGAUACUGAUCGGCUUGAAUGCGGUAGAGGGAAGCGGAAUUCAAGGUGUAGCGGUGGAAUGCGCAGAUAUCUUGGAGAACACCGAUGGCGAAGGCAGCUUCCUGGGCCUGCAUUGACGCUGAAGCGCGAAAGAUGGGGUAGCAAACAGGAUUAGAUACCCUGGUAGUCCCUUCCGUAAACGAUGAGUGCUAAGUGUGGGAACCAUCGGAGUUCCCGUGCUGCCGCUAACGCAUUAAGCACUCCGCCUGGGGAGUACGGUCGCAAGGCUAAAACUCAAGGUAAUUGACGGGGCCCCGCACAAGCGGUGGAGCAUGUCGCUCAAUUCGAAGCAACGCGAAGAACCUUACCAGGGUUUGACAUCGUCUGGACCGCUCUCGAAAGAGGGUUUUCCCUUCGGGGACCGGAUGACAGGUGCUGCAUGGCUGUCGUCAGCUCGU
RNAcentral lists this ribosomal RNA (1061 nucleotides) under marine metagenome. Its description in RNAcentral is "bacterial SSU rRNA". It matches the Rfam family "Bacterial small subunit ribosomal RNA", at positions 8 to 1063 of the family's 1533-position model. The record is from RNAcentral.